Molecule: small RNA, 131 nt
Filed under: Salmonella enterica subsp. enterica serovar Virchow
Lineage: Bacteria; Pseudomonadati; Pseudomonadota; Gammaproteobacteria; Enterobacterales; Enterobacteriaceae
Description: RtT sRNA
Rfam family: RtT RNA
About the family: This family represents a bacterial cis-regulatory element known as RtT RNA. The exact function of RtT is unknown although it is thought that it may be involved in changing the cellular response in relation to amino acid starvation.
Source: RNAcentral
AUAUCUCUCUGUACGGGAAGGAUGAGAAGCUUCGACCAGGGUUCGAUUCGAGCGCAGCGAGAAAGCGUUGCCGCAGGCAACGACCCGAAGGGCGAAGCGCGCAGCGCUGAGUCAUCCUUCCCCCACAACCA